Molecule: ribosomal RNA, 486 nt
Filed under: uncultured bacterium
Lineage: Bacteria
Description: partial 16S ribosomal RNA
Rfam family: Bacterial small subunit ribosomal RNA
Source: RNAcentral
GACGAACGCUGGCGGCGUGCUUAACACAUGCAAGUCGAACGCUGAAGACCUGGCUUUUGUUGGGUUGGAUGAGUGGCGAACGGGUGAGUAACACGUGAGUAACCUGCCCUCUUCUUUGGGAUAACGCCCGGAAACGGGUGCUAAUACUGGAUAUUCACUGAUCUUCGCAUGGGGGUUGGUGGAAAGGGUUGUUCUGGUGGGGGAUGGGCUCGCGGCCUAUCAGCUUGUUGGUGGGGUGAUGGCCUACCAAGGCUUUGACGGGUAGCCGGCCUGAGAGGGUGACCGGUCACAUUGGGACUGAGCUACGGCCCAGACUCCUACGGGAGGCAGCAGUGGGGAAUAUUGCACAAUGGGCGAAAGCCUGAUGCAGCGACGCCGCGUGAGGGAUGGAGGCCUUCGGGUUGUAAACCUCUUUCGCUCAUGGUCAAGCCGCAACUGUGGGUUGUGGUGAGGGUAGUGGGUAAAGAAGCGCCGGCUAACUACGUG